RNAcentral lists this ribosomal RNA (497 nucleotides) under uncultured bacterium. RNAcentral describes it as "partial 16S ribosomal RNA". It matches the Rfam family "Bacterial small subunit ribosomal RNA", at positions 28 to 507 of the family's 1533-position model. The record is from RNAcentral.
GACGAACGCUGGCGGCGUGCCUAAUACAUGCAAGUCGAACGCUGAAGAGAGGAGCUUGCUCUUCUUGGAUUAGUUGCGAACGGGUGAGUAACGCGUAGGUAACCUGCCUUGUAGCGGGGGAUAACUAUUGGAAACGAUAGCUAAUACCGCAUAAUAAUGGAUGACACAUGUCAUUUAUUUGAAAGGGGCAUUUGCUCCACUACAAGAUGGACCUGCGUUGUAUUAGCUAGUAGGUUAGGUAAUGGCCCACCUAAGGGACCGUACAUAGCCGACCUGAAGGGGUUGAUCGGCAAAAUUGGAACUGAGAAACGGCCAAGAUCCCUCGGGGAGCAAGAGGAGGGGAAUUUUGGCAAAUGGGGGAAAGCUGGCCGAAGCAAGCCGCCGGGGUGGAGGAAGGUCUUCGAGCGGUAAACUCUGUUGGUUGGGAAAGAAGAGUGGGAGAAUUAAAAGUUCACGUUGUGACGGUACCUAACCAGAAAGCGACGGCUAACUACGUG